Molecule: ribosomal RNA, 253 nt
Filed under: uncultured bacterium
Lineage: Bacteria
Description: partial 16S ribosomal RNA
Rfam family: Bacterial small subunit ribosomal RNA
Source: RNAcentral
UACGUAGGGUGCGAGCGUUAAUCGGAAUUACUGGGCGUAAAGCGUGCGCAGGCGGUUCGUUGUGUCGGUGGUGAAAGCCCCGGGCUUAACCUGGGAACUGCAUUUGUGACUGCAUCGCUGGAGUGCGGCAGAGGGGGAUGGAAUUCCGCGUGUAGCAGUGAAAUGCGUAGAUAUGCGGAGGAACACCGAUGGCGAAGGCAAUCCCCUGGGCCUGCACUGACGCUCAUGCACGAAAGCGUGGGGAGCAAACAGG